Molecule: long non-coding RNA, 515 nt
Filed under: Ananas comosus (pineapple)
Lineage: Eukaryota; Viridiplantae; Streptophyta; Magnoliopsida; Poales; Bromeliaceae
Description: long non-coding RNA (ACOM_LNC010476)
Source: RNAcentral
UUUCUGAAGACAUACUACUGUUGACCUUCUUCAUCCCCAGUUAAUCCCAACGCUGCCGAGUAUCAGCUUUACCAACUACUCGACGCCAACUCGAACGCUACCGAGUACCAGCUUCACCAACUGCUCGACCUCAACUCUGACGCUGUCAAGUAUCAGACAACUACUCGACCUCAAUUCCGAUGCUGCCGAGUACCAGCUUCACCAACUACUCGACCUCAACUCCGACGCUGCCGAGUACUAGUUUCACCAACUAACUCCGACGCUGCCGGGUACCAGUUUCACCAACUACUCGACCUCAAUUCCGACGCUGCCGGGUACCAGCUUUACCAACUACUCGACCUCAAUUCUAACGCUGCCGAGUACCAGCUUCACCAACUACUCGACCUCAAUUCCAACGCUGCCGAGUACCAGCUUCACCAACUACUCGACCUGAACUCCAACGCUGCCGAAUACCAGCUUCACCAACUAUUCGACCUUGACGUUGCUGAGCCUAGCUAUAACACGAUAAUGAGCGC